CGCACCGCAAGGUGAGUGGCAGACGGGUGAGUAACGCGUGGGAACGUGCCCUUCAGUUCGGAAUAACCCAGGGAAACUUGGGCUAAUACCGGAUACGUGCGAGAGCAGAAAGAUUUAUCGCUGAAGGAUCGGCCCGCGUCUGAUUAGCUAGUUGGUGAGGUAAUGGCUCACCAAGGCGACGAUCAGUAGCUGGUCUGAGAGGAUGAUCAGCCACAUUGGGACUGAGACACGGCCCAAACUCCUACGGGAGGCAGCAGUGGGGAAUAUUGGACAAUGGGCGCAAGCCUGAUCCAGCCAUGCCGCGUGAGUGAUGAAGGCCUUAGGGUUGUAAAGCUCUUUCGGCGGGGACGAUAAUGACGGUACCCGCAGAAGAAGCCCCGGCUAACUUCGUGCCAGCAGCCGCGGUAAUACGAAGGGGGCUAGCGUUGUUCGGAAUCACUGGGCGUAAAGGGCGCGUAGGCGGCCAAUUAAGUCGGGGGUGAAAGCCUGUGGCUCAACCACAGAAUUGCCUUCGAUACUGAUUGGCUUGAGACCGGAAGAGGUAAGUGGAACUGCGAGUGUAGAGGUGAAAUUCGUAGAUAUUCGCAAGAACACCAGUGGCGAAGGCGGCUUACUGGUCCGGUUCUGACGCUGAGGCGCGAAAGCGUGGGGAGCAAACAGGAUUAGAUACCCUGGUAGUCCACGCCGUAAACGAUGAAUGCCAGCCGUUGGCGAGCUUGCUCGUCAGUGGCGCAGCUAACGCUUUAAGCAUUCCGCCUGGGGAGUACGGUCGCAAGAUUAAAACUCAAAGGAAUUGAC
RNAcentral lists this ribosomal RNA (798 nucleotides) under Microvirga sp. RNAcentral's name for it is "bacterial SSU rRNA". It matches the Rfam family "Bacterial small subunit ribosomal RNA", at positions 67 to 914 of the family's 1533-position model. The record is from RNAcentral. Lineage: Bacteria; Pseudomonadati; Pseudomonadota; Alphaproteobacteria; Hyphomicrobiales; Methylobacteriaceae.